This 396-nucleotide ribosomal RNA is filed under the name Halomonas sp. Its description in RNAcentral is "partial 23S ribosomal RNA". It matches the Rfam family "Bacterial large subunit ribosomal RNA", at positions 1388 to 1779 of the family's 2925-position model. Lineage: Bacteria; Pseudomonadati; Pseudomonadota; Gammaproteobacteria; Oceanospirillales; Halomonadaceae. The record is from RNAcentral.
GACCUAAGCCGAGGCCGAAAGGCGUAGGCGAUGGACAACAGGUAGAGAUUCCUGUACCACCUCCUCACCGUUUGAGCAAUGGGGGGACGCAGGAAGGUAGGGAGAGCAGGCUGCUGGAAUAGCCUGUCCAAGCGGUUAGGCUGCCAGAUAGGCAAAUCCGUCUGGCGCAAGGCGAAGCCGUGAUGGCGAGGGAAAUGAAGUACCGAAGUCCCUGAUCCUACACUGCCAAGAAAAGCCUCUAGCGAGGUGAGAGGUGCCCGUACCGCAAACCGACACAGGUAGGCGAGGAGAGAAUCCUAAGGUGCGCGGGAGAACUCUCGUUAAGGAACUCGGCAAAAUGACCCCGUAACUUCGGGAGAAGGGGUGCUCGUUUGGGUGAAGAGCCCGAACGAGCCG